CGUAGGUGGCAAGCGUUGUCCGGAUUUACUGGGCGUAAAGAGCGCGCAGGCGGUCGUUCAAGUCGCGUGUGAAAGCCCCCGGCUCAACUGGGGAGGGUCACGCGAUACUGAUCGACUCGAAGGCAGGAGAGGGUAGUGGAAUUCCCGGUGUAGUGGUGAAAUGCGUAGAUAUCGGGAGGAACACCAGUGGCGAAGGCGACUACCUGGCCUGUUCUUGACGCUGAGGCGCGAAAGCUAGGGGAGCAAACGGGAUUAGAUACCCCGGUAGUCCUAGCCGUAAACGAUGGACACUAGGUGUUGGUGGUAUCAACCCGCCAGUGCCGAAGCUAACGCAUUAAGUGUCCCGCCUGGGGAGUACGGCCGCAAGGCUA
Molecule: ribosomal RNA, 371 nt
Filed under: uncultured organism
Description: bacterial SSU rRNA
Rfam family: Bacterial small subunit ribosomal RNA
Source: RNAcentral